GCCAUGCUUGGUGCAUUGGGUUGUGUCUUCCCUGAAAUUCUUUCAAAGAACGGUGUUAAAUUCGGUGAAGCCGUUUGGUUCAAGGCAGGAGCCCAAAUCUUUUCAGAAGGUGGACUCGACUACCUCGGCAACCCAAACCUCGUCCAUGCCCAGAGCAUCCUCGCCAUUUGGGCUUGCCAAGUUGUCCUAAUGGGCUUGAUUGAAGGAUACAGGGUUGGUGGAGGCCCACUUGGUGAAGGUCUUGACAAGAUCUACCCAGGAGGUGCCUUCGACCCACUUGGCCUUGCUGAUGAUCCCGAGGCUUUUGCUGAGUUGAAGGUUAAGGAAAUCA
Molecule: long non-coding RNA, 331 nt
Filed under: Nicotiana tabacum (common tobacco)
Lineage: Eukaryota; Viridiplantae; Streptophyta; Magnoliopsida; Solanales; Solanaceae
Description: long non-coding RNA (NTAB_LNC000864)
Source: RNAcentral